UACGUAGGGGGCAAGCGUUGUCCGGAAUUAUUGGGCGUAAAGAGCUCGUAGGCGGUCUGUUGCGUCCGCUGUGAAAACUCGGGGCUUAACCCCGAGCUUGCAGUGGAUACGGGCAGACUAGAGGUAGGUAGGGGAGAAUGGAAUUCCCGGUGUAGCGGUGAAAUGCGCAGAUAUCGGGAGGAACACCGGUGGCGAAGGCGGUUCUCUGGGCCUUACCUGACGCUGAGGAGCGAAAGCGUGGGGAGCGAACAGG
RNAcentral lists this ribosomal RNA (253 nucleotides) under uncultured bacterium. Its description in RNAcentral is "partial 16S ribosomal RNA". It matches the Rfam family "Bacterial small subunit ribosomal RNA", at positions 524 to 776 of the family's 1533-position model. The record is from RNAcentral.